RNA transcript from Grus americana (Whooping crane), 8572 nucleotides. It is a transcript of the gene named insulin receptor substrate 1, with no coding region annotated. NCBI's taxonomy places the organism in Eukaryota, Metazoa, Chordata, Aves, Gruiformes, Gruidae. The transcript is spliced from 3 exons. The record is from RefSeq and is a predicted model, not a curated record.
GCGCUGGGCUGGCCGGGAGCCUGGCGGCGGCGGCGGCUCCGGGGAUGGUCCACGCACUGGCGCCGUCACGUGUUGUUCUCCUUGGAGUGAGCCUGAGCGGCGGCGGCGGGUGGAGGGGGCUGGACGGGCGAGCACGGCCCCCGCCGCCUGUUUUGGUGCGGGGCGCCGGGAAACUCCGUGAAGAAGCCGGCGGAGAGGGAGUCGCCGCGGCGGUGCCCGCUCCCCCGCCGGCCUGAGGCACGGGAGGGGGCCGCGCCACCGGCCGCUGAGGCGCUGCCGACUGGAAUGAAGAGGAGGAGGAAGAGAGGAUGUUCCUUCGGCACUCGGGCUGCCUCCCCUCCCGCCGCUGCCGGGCUGCGCCGUGUGUGGAAAUGGCACUUUCUCUGCCUAACGAGAUGGGACUGAAUGGGGUCGCCAGCCUCCUCCGCACGCACGAGCGGGAGAAGCAGCAGCAGCAACCUCAGCGCUGAUAUUUGGGGAAGGGGGGGUUGUGUUGUGGGCGGCUUUUUUUUUUUCCCCCUCUUUUUUUGGGAGGGGGGGAGAAGGGGGAAAGAAGCGUGUAUUUUUGGGUGCAAACCCCGGACUUUGCAAAACAAUCUCCGCCCUCAAGAGGAUAUUUAAUCUGCAACAGAAAUCGCUACUCGCGGAGGCAAACUUGAGACGGGGAAGGGGUGCAGGGAGCGGAGGAAGGGGACCCCCGCCCCGCGCCCGGCCCCGGCAGAGCCCGACCUCUGCUAGGGAAGAUGCGUUUCUGUUUCCCGGCGGCUGCUCUUGGGACGAGACUUUCGUCUGGACUGAUCGGGACUGGACUUUUUAAGGACGCGCUUACCCAUCUAAGGGCGGUUUGGGCAUAAACAGCAACGCAAACUCUGAUUUGGUGCUGGAAGCUGCCUCUGCCACUGAACAGCUGCUCUCACCCUGCUUCUGUCCCUCCUCCGUCCCGUUCUCAAAAGGGGAUCCUGAGCUAUUUGCUGCUUUUUUCUUUUUUGAUUGUUGUUGCAUGAAUUUUAUUUUAGGUGGUUGUCUUUUCUGGCUGGCUUGGCUGUUUUGGGGUCUUGCGGACUGCUAGCUGCAGUAACAGCUCCACUGCCUCUCGCCAUGGCUAGCCCCACAGAUAAUAACGAGGGCUUCUUCUCAGAUGUCAGAAAGGUGGGUUACUUGCGCAAACCCAAGAGCAUGCAUAAACGCUUUUUCGUGCUGAGGGCAGCCAGCGAGUCUGGACCCGCCCGGCUGGAGUAUUACGAGAAUGAGAAGAAAUGGAGACACAAGUCAGGGGCCCCCAAGCGCUCCAUCCCACUAGAAAGCUGCUUCAACAUCAACAAACGGGCUGACUCCAAGAACAAGCACCUGGUGGCCCUCUACACCAAGGACGAACACUUUGCCAUUGCAGCUGACAGCGAGCCUGAACAGGAGAGCUGGUACCAAGCGCUGCUGCAGUUGCACAACAGGACCAAGGGCCACCACCAUCUCCAUCACCAUCACCACCACCACCACAGCGAUGUCACCUUUGGAGGCAGCAAUGCAGGACUGGGGGAAGCAGGUGAGGACAGCUAUGGCGAGGUAGCCCCUGGCCCGGCUUUUAAGGAAGUUUGGCAAGUAAUUCUAAAGCCUAAGGGCCUAGGCCAGACAAAGAACCUGAUUGGCAUCUACCGCCUGUGCCUGACUAACAAGACCAUCAGCUUUGUGAAGCUGAAUUCAGAUGCGGCUGCUGUGGUGCUGCAGCUGCUCAAUAUCCGCCGCUGUGGUCACUCUGAGAACUUCUUCUUCAUUGAGGUGGGGCGCUCAGCUGUGACCGGGCCCGGUGAGUUCUGGAUGCAGGUGGAUGACUCGGUGGUGGCGCAGAACAUGCAUGAAACCAUCCUGGAGGCCAUGCGAGCCAUGAGUGAGGAAUUCCGGCCCCGCAGCAAGAGCCAGUCCUCCUCGAACUGUUCCAACCCCAUCUCCGUGCCCCUUCGCAGCAGGCACCAUGUCAACAAUCCUCCACCCAGCCAAGUGGGGCUCAGUCGCCGGUCCAGGACCGAGAGUGUCACAGCCACCUCUCCUGCUGGUGGUGGGGGUGGAAGUACGGGUGGCAAACCCAGUUCUUUCCGGGUUCGAGCAUCAAGUGAUGGGGAAGGCACGAUGUCGAGGCCUGCCUCUGUGGAUGGCAGCCCAGUUAGUCCCAGUGCCAACCGGACCCAUUCGCACAGACACCGUGGCAACUCCAGGCUCCAUCCUCCGCUGAACCACAGCCGGUCCAUCCCAAUGCCUUCCUCGCGCUGCUCUCCUUCAGCCACCAGUCCGGUCAGCCUGUCAUCUAGCAGCACUAGUGGCCACGGCUCCACCUCGGACUGCCUGUUUCCACGAAGGUCUAGUGCUUCGGUUUCCGGCUCCCCUAGCGAUGGCGGAUUUAUUUCUUCUGAUGAGUAUGGUUCCAGCCCGUGUGACUUUCGCAGCUCUUUUCGCAGCGUGACCCCAGAUUCGCUGGGACAUACCCCACCAGCUCGGGGUGAUGAAGAGCUCAACUACAUCUGCAUGGGGGGGAAGGCCACCUCCUCUUGCUGCAGCCUGGCAGCCCCCAAUGGCCACUUCAUCCCACGCACCUGCCACCCACAGCAGCAGCCCCGCUACCCUAGUACGCCGUGCUGUCCCCGAGGUGGUAGCGAGGAGGUUGCCGACUUGGACAAGACAUUCAGGAAGCGGACUCACUCUGCAGGCACUUCGCCCACCAUCUCCCACCAGAAGACACCCUCACAGUCUUCAGUGGCCUCCAUCGAGGAGUACACAGAGAUGCUGCCUUCUUACCCCUGUGGUGGCAGCCGGCUGCCCUCCUACCGGCACUCAGCCUUCGUGCCCACGCACUCCUACCCAGAGGAGUGUCUGGAGAUGCACCACCUGGACAGUGGCCAUCAUCGGACCAACUCCACCCCACACACGGACGAUGGCUACAUGCCCAUGUCACCCGGCGUAGCCCCUGUGCCCAGUGGCGGGGGGCCCCCAAAGGGUGGUGACUACAUGCCCAUGAGUCCUAAGAGUGUGUCUGCCCCACAGCAGAUCAUCAACCCUAGCAGGGGGGGCCGCCACCCUCCAGCCACAGUGGACUCCAACGGCUACAUGAUGAUGUCCCCCAGUGGCAGCUACUCCCCUGAUGGCGGCUCUGCGGGCUAUGGCAAGAUCUGGACAAAUGGUGCUGGCCACCACCCGAAACUCUCGGUGGAGAGCAAUGAAGGGAAGCUCCCCUGUGGCGGCAGUGACUACAUCAACAUGUCUCCAGCCAGCGGCUCCACCACCAGCACCCCACCCGACUGCUACUUCGGAGGCGCGGGGCAGACGGGCGUCGAGGAGGCCGCCGCCGCGGCCCACCACAAACCCAUCUACUCCUACUUCUCGCUGCCACGCUCCUUCAAGCACGUGCACCGGCGGGGCGGCAGCGGGCCGGCGGUGACGGGCGAGGAGGGCAGCCCACAGCCCCACAUCGCCCUUGGCUCCGGCCGCCUCCUCUACGCCGCCGAGGACUCGUCCUCCUCCGCCAGCAGCGACAGCCUGGGUGGCGGCGGCGGCACGGAGGGUGGCCCCCCGCCGCAAGCGCAGCCCCCGCGCAAGGUGGACACCGCCGUGCAGACCAAGGGCCGCCUGGCGCGACCCACGCGCCUGUCGCUGGGCGGCCCCAAGGCCAGCACCCUGCCGCGGGCCCGGGAGCAGCCCCCGCUCCUCCUGCCGCCGGAGCCCAAGAGCCCCGGCGAGUACGUCAACAUCGAGUUCAUCGCCGGCGAGAAGCCGGCUUUCCCCUCGGCCGUCCUGGCGCUGGGCUUGCCGCCGCCGCCGCCAGGCAACGAGGGCGCCGAGGAGUACAUGAACAUGGAGCUGGGGCCGCCGCGGGCCCCCUGCCCCGCCGGCUUCGCCGCCGCGCGGGCUGCCCCCGCGGCCCGGCUCGGCCGAGGCGCUGCCCCCGGCGGCCGGGACUACGUGACGAUGCAGCUGGGGAGCGCCGCCGCGGGGGGCUCCUGCUCGGACUGCGCCGACAGCCCUUCCCCCUGCUCGCCCGCCCUCCUGCUCAACUACGCCGACGUGCGGGCGGGCCGCUCCGUCGCCGAGAAGCCCCCGCCGGCGUCGACGGCUUCCCCGGAGUUGCCGCGGCCGCCGGCCGAGCUGUCGGCGGCGCCGCCGCGCUCCUCUUCCCUGCUCGGGGGCCCGGGCGCGGGCAGCGCCUUCACCCGCGUCAGCCUCAGCCCCGGCCGCAACCAGAGCGCCAAGGUGAUCCGCGCAGACCCGCAGGGCGGCCGGCGGCGGCACAGCUCCGAGACGUUCUCGUCCACGCCGAGCGCCGCCCGCGGAGCGGCUGGCGGCGGCGGGCUCGGGGCGCCCUUCCCCUGCGGCGGCGCGGGGGGCGCCGAGGAGGUGAAGCGCCACAGCUCGGCCUCCUUCGAGAACGUCUGGCUGCGGCCCGCCGCGGGGGAGACGGCCGGCGCCCCCGCCGCCCGCCGGGAGCCGGGGGCCGCGCCCGCCCUGGAGAACGGGCUCAACUACAUCGACCUGGACUUGGUGAAGGACUUCAGUCACCGCCGCCACCACCACCUCCACCCCCCUGCCGAGGGCGCCGCUCUGCCGGGGGGGAAGCAGCCGCCGCCGCCGCAGCCCCCGGGCCAGCCUCGCGGGAGCGGCCACUCCAGCGACGACUUGAGCGCGUACGCCAGCAUCAGCUUCCAGAAGCGGGAGGAGAUGUAGGAGCCGGGCGCCCGCCGGGGAAGGUCUGCUGGGGCAGGGACUGUCAUUUUACUUUGUUUGUUCAGCGGCCAGUAAAGUGAGGCCUUCAACUGUGACUGAGGCUCCUGUAUGCUGUUGCAGUGCAAACAAUACGAAUAAUCAUUAUCACUGGUUAUCACUUCAGUUCCUGUACAGCGCCGGCUGAGCGUUGUCCAAAUACAUAACAUUCUGCCACUGCUGAGAUUCAAAGUCUUCAUAAACCCCAAAUCAAUAAGCCUCACCUUGUUCGCAAACCUCGAGUUGUCAAGCUUUCUCCCCGUCCUCCAUCCUGGUAGCUGUUUCUGCUGAAACUUGUCCAGAAGUGCUGGCACUAGGAUUUUUUUCAAGCCUGCAUCAUAAAGAAUGAUGACCUAUACAACCUCAGCAAAUCCUUCUUUUAACUCAUGGGUAUCAAGACUAUAAAUGUUUCAUGCUAUCACAACUAGGACCUCACCUCCUCCUCUUCCUCUGUAAAUGGGUACGAUGCAUCCAGUUCAGUUUGUUUACUUUACACAAACCUCAGGAGUUAGUUGACUGAGCUGCACAUCCUGUGUUGUGCCAAGCAGAAGCACUGUGACACCUGGACAAUGAGUCUUUCUUACUUCAUCCUCUACCAUAAGGACUUAGCUGGCCACAAUGAACUGAUGUGCCCACCACUAUGUCAUGGUGAGAAUGGGUAUUUUACUAGCACAUUUACACAACUUCAUUUGCUGCUGAAAACCUGUAUGACAAAUCAUCAUUGUAAAUUAUUACAUACAAAACUUAAUGUUGGUUGAAGAGUAUUAAAUAUUUAACAUAGGUUUUGAUUUAUACAUGUACUUUUUUAAUUAAAAUGUAACUUUUCCUACAGCACAUCUUUUUUGAUGUGGAACUGAGGUAUAUUAUAUUCUGUUGUAAACAGAGUGGGAAACCUGCUUAAAACAAGGCUUCUAAGAAUAGAGUAGGGUACUAUUCUUGUUUUAAGAUUGUAAUUCAGAAAAUAAUAUAAUAUGAGUCAUUGGUCCCUGGGCCUUGAUUGUACAGUCAUAUUUACUGAUACUAUCAGUUGUAAGAUAACCCUGAUGUUGAGUUGAGUUCUUUCCAAAAGAAAAAUAAUUUUGUACUCCUUGUAAAAUAAUAGUCUGUAUUAACUACAAUGAAGACAAACAUUACUGUACAUGGUAUUUACAAGUGUCAACUUGAAUUCAUCAAUUGCACAGGAACUGACAAAAAAAAAUCAGAAAAAAGAAAUCAGAGUCUUCCACUGUAUAUAUUGUAAAGAGAAAAAAAAAAAACAAACAACCAACAGAAAACCACAAAACAAAAUGAAAACAAAAAAGGGUGAACUUUUCAAAUUGACUCUUUCCCUGGAAUGAAAAUAUGGGUGUUUGUAAAUUCUGGAAAUCUCUUUCUAUAUGUAAUAAACUAGAUACUGUUUUAUCUGCUGUAGUGUUUUUUGGGGUGUUUUGUUUUCUUGGUAAGCUGUCUCAAAUAUCUCAAAUUGUCGCACCAGCUUUUUUUGAUGUUUCCAUUGUGUGUAAUUGAGAAUGGCUGUGGAUCACCAUAGCUUAAGAAUAAAGUCAAGUGUAAUUAGGUGUAGUAGGGAGUAUGCUUCCUUGAAUUAUUUCACUAAAGCUCUCGUUUCAGUUUUCUGGAGAAUCUUCAGGAUACAGCCUUCCUUCCACUUGAGUAGGUGGAAGAGUUUACAGCAAGUCAAAUCACUGGAAGCCACAGCAAGAACAGCCCAGAUAAUUGUCUGGAAAUCAGUGCAAGAGGAAGGAUGAGGAAGAAUUCUGCUGCGACUCUCCUGUGCUCCACUCUGGUUCUGUGCAGAUAGAAAUUCUUUUGUGCAUAGCAUUUGCAGAGCUUUAAUUCUUUUUGAGACUGGAAAAAUACCAAGAUCAUGGAUUUCCAAGUAAAACGUUGUUGAAGUGAUAAUUGCACUUGAAGCCAUGUCAGGUCCCUGUUGGUCCCUCCUCCUGCUUCAGCGAAGCAACUCCAUGGACCAGUGCACAUUCAACGGGAUUCUUGUUAUCAGGACAAGGCAGGCACUCGAAGCACCAGCUGCUCUCCCUGCAGGAUGGCUGUCAAACCCUCAAAGAAGGGGUUUCUUUCCCCUGAGAUGUUUAUGAUGUCUGGGGUUAGGCUGUGGUUAAUGCAAUGGCCUCUUCUGACUGCGGUAUAGGUGAGGGGGCCCUUGCACAGCUAUUUUUCAACUCUCCUUUUGCUGGAGGCUUACCAUUCCCUUAGAUCUGCUGGUAUUAUUGCACCUAUAUAACCACUUUGACCCUAUCAAAUCAAAAUACUCACUUAAGAAAGGACUUGGAGCUUAAGAAUAUUUAAACCAUUCCAGAUCCCUGGGAACAAUUACACGAGUGGCGGUGCUGGCAGAUUUGAGGAUGUUGCAUGGUGAGGCCGCAGCCUGAGAAGGACCUGCGACUGCCCAGGGCGCUGCCUUUGGAAAUCUUGGCCUUUGCUGACAGGAGAGUCUCCUCCCAAAGAGGCUGAUACUAAUCGGUAAAAGAUAAGAGGCUUUGCUGCUUUUUUUUUUUUUUUUUAAAUGUAGGAAGGGGCAAGUUUGAUCCUCUGUAGCUUGCCUAUUAUUCUUGAUGAGCAUUAGUGUGUAUUUUUCCAAAGAAUCAUUAAUAUCUAAGAAGGCAGCACUUCCUUUUAAAAGAAAGCCCCAUGCAUCAUAUCAGUAGUUAAAUUUGUAAGUUCCCCAUCUUAAUUUUAUCUUAAGAUCCUUCCUUUUUUUUUUAAUGGGAUUUAGUUGCAAUGAAAACUUGCAUAUGUUCUGAAGUAAAAACAUAAAAACAGCUCACCCCCAACCCCUUUGCCCACAGCCUUCUCCAGCUUAAUGAAUUAACAUAAAUGUUCACUGUGUUGAUUUGGUUGCUAAAUAUUAGCCCGUGUUGAUGUUCAAGUGCCUUGGAUAGAACCGUAUUUUAUGGCCAUUGUGCUUUGCAUUGUUUCAGAUAAUUUGCAUACUCUAGCAAUUGCUGAAAUAAUAGGUUUGUAGGUACAGGAAACUAAUGUUAAGUUUUAAAGGCAUUAGUGAGUACAUUUAAUCCAGGUAGAAGUAUUUCGUAGUGAUAAAUCUAUGAGCAAAUUUUGUUCAUAAAAUACGAAUGUUAAAAGCUUGUAAGAAUUGGCAAUGGUCAUUAUGGAAGGGAAUGGUGGGGGAGAAUAGUGCAGAUCUGGUGGGUUUCCAUUGAUGUUCACUGUAAAGUACGGCCAGAGAAACAGCUUGUUAAUGAUGUUAACUUGCAUAGUUUUUAUGUUAAUUGUUAUUUUUUUUCCUAGUAAAAUUAAACAUGCCUGUUUAGCAAAUGUUUUGAAAAGGCUUUUGAAACAAAAUGCAUUCAUAACCAAACCUGAAACUCUUGAUUCUUUUCUUGCAUAGAUUUUUACUCUUAUAAAUGGCAAACUUUAAUAAAUAGACCAUUAUGAAGCAAACCCUUUUAAAUUAAAGCAUAAAUGCCUCAAAACCACAGUACUAUCCUAUCUUAGCCUUUUAUGAAUUCUUUUGUUCUGUCUGCCACAGAAGCAAUUAUCAUUUCUCCAAGUUUGAAAAUGAGCAAAUGGGAUCAGUCCUACAUCAGCUAGUAAAACUCAGAUGUUCAGGAGUUUAUUUUGCUUUGAAUUUUUUUCAAGUGGAAGUUUCUGGUUAUUAUUUGAGUUCUUUUCUGGCUCCAUUACUGGGACAGCUUCAGUUUUCAAAAAAUCUGUACUGAAUGCAUUUAUUAGUGCUAUUGGUUGAAAAUGAAUGGGGUUGGAAAAACCAUUUGAAGCAGUCUCCAGGAGCACAAGCAACACUUAUACACUUGGGUUUUUGCAAGGAUUGCUGUGUUCAAGCUCAAUUUGAUGCUGA